AUGAAGGGCAUUCACCGCAUCUCCACCGACGCAAUUGUAUCUCUAUCUUUCUCAAUUCUCCGCCACUUCUAUCAGCACCGAUUUGUGGAGAGCGACAGCAGGAUGGGCAGGGUGAGGAGGCAGCAGGAUGGCCAGAGUUCGGUGGCAGCAUAUGUUGGUCGUGCCGUCGAGCCAAGCACGCCGGAAGUCGGUGACGAUGGCGCGGUGGUGCUCAGCGGCGUUGACGACGAGGUAACACACGAGAAGCUCCUCGAGGUGCCGCUACGACGCUUGGACGUUGUCCUUCGCUGCACUAUCUCUGCCAUGCUCUCCAGGAAGUCCCCCUCUGGGUCCGCCGACUCCAUCACCAUCACGAGGCUCUCCUGCAGCCAGCGCCGCCUCUGUAGCAUGGUGGUCGCCAUUGGAGGCUGCUCCUACGCUGGCCUUCUUCCCUUCAACCAGCCGCUUGGCUUGACAUGUACCGGCCGUCGCCGUCACGUCCUGUCCGUCGGCGAUGCCCUGCAGCUGCUCUUGGCCUCCUCCUCCCAGUCAACCUUCUUUGCCGCACCAGUCGGGCCUGGUGAGGAUCGGUCGCAGCUUCAGCCCGUGGAGCCGGCCAGCAGCGGCCCUAGGCUUUGA
RNAcentral lists this ribosomal RNA (618 nucleotides) under Triticum aestivum (bread wheat). RNAcentral's name for it is "partial small subunit ribosomal RNA". The record is from RNAcentral. Lineage: Eukaryota; Viridiplantae; Streptophyta; Magnoliopsida; Poales; Poaceae.